AGUAAGAUGGCUGAGGCACUAUAAGCGGAAGACUGUAAAUCUUCUCACGGGUUCAUACCCUCUUACUU
Molecule: transfer RNA, 68 nt
Filed under: Phascolosoma pacificum
Lineage: Eukaryota; Metazoa; Annelida; Sipuncula; Phascolosomatiformes; Phascolosomatidae
Description: tRNA-Tyr
Source: RNAcentral